UCUUUUGUCUGAAGAAACGUUUAGCAUGUGAAUUCUGUAUAAUGUUUUAUUGAUUAGGUCAAACAGUUAAAGGCGAAUGUCACUCAUUUUAAGUUCACAUUAGUUGUUUCUGUGCUUUCGAUCCAUACUCAGACAGCACUGACGGCCUGACCUUGCUUUUGUAAUAUUUCAGACUUUUGUCUUUUAAACUUUGUUUUAGACUUUUCUAUAUUCCAUGAUGACCCCUCAUAUGGACAUGAGGGGAAAAAAGACAGAAACAGAAAUAAGUUUCCUGUCAUAGCUGCACAGCAAAUGAAGGAGAGCUGACGUUGAGCAACAUGGAAGAUAACUGCAGUGGCUUGUUCGCUGAGUAAACUGUGAACCUGCUGGACCAGAUACUGAUGAGCUUGACCAAGACCAGGACAAUGGCACAGCACCUGUCGGUCCAAUUUACACUAUACUUGUCUGUUUUUUGACUCCUUAAAGUGCGGAUGCUAUGUCAGCCUAUAAAAGAGAAAUGAGUUUUAAGCACAUUGUUGAGUUUAACACAUUUUUAUUUAGUACAGCAACAAGAUCUUUGUAUGAAAAUAAAUCUAAGCAGUAAAAAAGAGUAACUGGUACAAAUGUAUCAGCCUUUCCAUCCAUUCAGCAUUCAUCAUAUUCACUCCACCAAAAGCCAUUCAGAGCACACACUGAAAUGCAAAGUGGACCAUCAAGCAAACAGCCUUACUGAGUACUUGAA
Long non-coding RNA from Siniperca chuatsi (mandarin fish), 721 nucleotides. RefSeq lists it as uncharacterized. The record is from RefSeq and is a predicted model, not a curated record. NCBI's taxonomy places the organism in Eukaryota, Metazoa, Chordata, Actinopteri, Centrarchiformes, Sinipercidae. The transcript has 2 exons.